This 1171-nucleotide long non-coding RNA is filed under the name Oncorhynchus kisutch (coho salmon). Its description in RNAcentral is "lncRNA (ENSOKIG00005044342.1)". The record is from RNAcentral. Lineage: Eukaryota; Metazoa; Chordata; Actinopteri; Salmoniformes; Salmonidae.
AUGUCCGAGCCACAGCCUGCCGGUGCCUGGGGUUUAAUUUUGAGGCCAAGUCGAAUGAUGACUCUGGGUUUGUCUAUUGAGGAAAUUGUUUUAGCUGUGGGGCGUGGAUGGACAAGACGGGAGAGAGUGACACAGCUCAUAACAAAGGAAUCCCAGCUACACCCAGGUCGUAAUACCUCUUUGGCCUAUGAAGGGUGGAACAGGAGGAUCCAGCAGAACUUUGAGAUGAAUCAACGUCUGUUGCCCGGUGCGAUGUGUCUCACAACCUUCAGGACCCCAAUGAGAAACAUCCAGACCUGGUGCACAAGAGAGGCAUCUACAAGGACAGACAUGGGGCCGCCCAUUCCUGGUGUGACUAGCAGCUAAGGCCUAACUUUGCUAUCACCAUUGUGGUGGUAACCACUGUUCCUUUUUUACUGCCUCAUUAGCUUUGUAGCUAAAGUCCUAGUGUCCUGUCCAAGGGAAUUAAUUCUACAUCAAACUGCCUCAUGCUAAAGAAACAGGAAGAUAGGACCCCUACCCGAUGGGUCACUCUGGCUCUGAUAAGGCUUACAUAGCUACGUCAUUAGUGUUGUAAAGGAAAGUCAGUACUCUGGAUAACCCGAACACUAUCAAUGUGGGUGAAGAAAAGGUUAUCACACAUUUCUGUCAUUAAUAGCCCUGCUACUGUAAGACAGGUCUGUCUCUGGCUAACCCUAACCCUGUACUAAGGUUACUAAUGUAUUUUUGCUGACCAUUAUGUGAGUGUAAUGGCCGUCGUCAGUGGAAGAAGGUGAGCACCAAGGUGCAGCGUGGUAUGUGUCCAUAUUUAUUAAAUGAACACGGAAAUAACAGAGAAACGCCCAAAAACAGUUCUGGCUGGUGCAGACACACAACAGAAAACAAUCACCCACGAAACACAAUAGAAAACAGGCUACCUAAAUAUGGUUCUCAAUCAGGGACAACGAUUGACAGCUGCCUCUGAUUGAGAACCAUACCAGGCCAAACACAGAAAUAGCAAAUCAUAGAAAAACUAACAUAGACAACCCACCCAACUCAUGCCCUGACCAUACUAAAACAAAGACAUAAUAAAAGAACUAAGGUCAGAACGUGACAGUGAGUCUUUCAAACAAAUAUACUGUCCAGUAUUCCCCAGGCUGCAUUACAGUGUCUCUAUAAAGUAUUAUUUCUU